AAGACACUAGUAAAACGUGUAAUUACACUGCCUUGUCGAGGCAGAA
RNAcentral lists this transfer RNA (46 nucleotides) under Peprilus triacanthus (American butterfish). Its description in RNAcentral is "tRNA-Asp". Lineage: Eukaryota; Metazoa; Chordata; Actinopteri; Scombriformes; Stromateidae. The record is from RNAcentral.